AGCAGCCGCGGUAAUUCCAGCUCCAAUAGCGUAUAUUAAAGUUGUUGCAGUUAAAAAGCUCGUAGUUGAAUUUCGGGAUUAGUACGCUGGUCGUGCCUUCGGUACGUACUGGUGUUACUGAUUCCUACCUUCUGACGAACCGUCAUGUCAUUCAUUUGGUGUGGCGGGGAAUCAGGACUGUUACUUUGAAAAAAUUAGAGUGUUUAAAGCAGGCUAACGCCUGAAUACAUUAGCAUGGAAUAAUGAAAUAGGACGACGAUCCUAUUUUGUUGGUUCCUAGGAUUGACGUAAUGAUUAAUAGGGAUAGUUGGGGGCAUUAGUAUUCAAUUGUCAGAGGUGAAAUUCUUGGAUUUAUUGAAGACUAACUACUGCGAAAGCAUUUGCCAAGGAUGUUUUCAUUAAUCAAGAACGAAAGUUAGGGGAUCGAAGACGAUCAGAUACCGUCGUAGU
This 450-nucleotide ribosomal RNA is filed under the name uncultured Glomeromycotina. RNAcentral's name for it is "SSU rRNA". It matches the Rfam family "Eukaryotic small subunit ribosomal RNA", at positions 569 to 1024 of the family's 1831-position model. The record is from RNAcentral. Lineage: Eukaryota; Fungi; Glomeromycota.